UUGAUGUUAAAUGUGUUGCAUGAUUGACCUAUUGACUCUUAAUCAAUUGGUCGCAGGUUCGAACCCUGCACGACCCACCA
RNAcentral lists this transfer RNA (80 nucleotides) under Pectobacterium brasiliense. RNAcentral's name for it is "Pectobacterium carotovorum subsp. brasiliense tRNA-Lys". It matches the Rfam family "tRNA", at positions 12 to 71 of the family's 71-position model. Rfam says of the family: Transfer RNA (tRNA) molecules are approximately 80 nucleotides in length. Their secondary structure includes four short double-helical elements and three loops (D, anti-codon, and T loops). The record is from RNAcentral. Lineage: Bacteria; Pseudomonadati; Pseudomonadota; Gammaproteobacteria; Enterobacterales; Pectobacteriaceae.